RNAcentral lists this ribosomal RNA (502 nucleotides) under uncultured bacterium. RNAcentral describes it as "partial 16S ribosomal RNA". It matches the Rfam family "Bacterial small subunit ribosomal RNA", at positions 28 to 507 of the family's 1533-position model. The record is from RNAcentral.
GACGAACGCUGGCGGCGUGCUUAACACAUGCAAGUCGAACGGUGAAGGGGUCUGCUUUUGUGGGCCCUGGAUGAGUGGCGAACGGGUGAGUAACACGUGAGUAACCUGCCCCCUUCUUCUGGAUAACCGCAUGAAAGUGUGGCUAAUACGGGAUAUUCUGGGUCUGUCGCAUGAUGGGUCUGGGAAAGAUUGCGCCUUUGGGUGUUUUUGGUGGGGGAUGGGCUCGCGGCCUAUCAGCUUGUUGGUGGGGUGAUGGCCUACCAAGGCGGUGACGGGUAGCCGACGUGGGAGGGUGGGCGGUCACAUUGGGACUGGGACACGGCCCAUACGCCUACGGGAGGGAGCAGUGGGGUAUAUUGCACAGUGGGCGCAAGCCUGAUGCAGCGACGCCGCGUGAGGGAUGGAGGCCUUCGGGUUGUAAACCUCUUUCGCCAGUGAAGCAGGCCUGCUGCUUGUGGGUGGGUUGACGGUAGCUGGAUAAGAAGCGCCGGCUAACUACGUG